UGAUAUCACAGUCACAUGUUUGAGGCUAUUAAUUUGGUAAAUUCAGCUGGUGUCAAGAUGGAAAACUCUGCAGUCAUUAUGACAAGUAUAGGUUUCAUCUUAUCUACUUAUGGAAGAUCCGCAGGGAAAGACUUUCAGUGAUGGACAAUGGUUGUUUGGAAGUAAAGACAUCAGAGGAAGAAGUGUUCCAGAAAUGUGGGGACAUUUACCACGAAAUACACGAUGAAGACCUGAAUAUGAAUAUGUCUCUCAGACCAACAGGACAGAGACCCCAACCCGACAGGCCGAGAUUAUCCAUUCCCCUUGAAGCAGUAACCAGUGCCGUAGACCAUGCCGGUUCCUUACCAGAGACCGGUGCGAGUGGACACUCGUCUGUCGGGUAUCUGACGCCUGAACAAACGCAAGACGUAGAACAGCCAAGAUACACGUCCUCUAGGACUGAUGAUGGUGUAUACCUUGAUGCUCGGCAGAGUAAUAACACUGAAUGGGUUGGUGAAACCUCGUUUACUGUCACACCUGAGGAAGCUGGUAAGAGGCACCUGGUUCAAGGACAUCCUUCUGCCGGGACAUUUAACCAUGUCAAGAUGUCAGCCACUUUGAGGAGUAAUAUCAGAACUAGAAGAUGUCGAACUAAGCACCUCUCCUGGGACUCUAGAACCCACCUGGAUAUUUGUGCUGUAGCUAAUGAUGAUCCGCAAACUACGAACAAGGAUAAAGCUGGUAACAGAGUGGUGAAAGUACGACCCCCAGUGUGUAAGAGAGCAGUGAUUAACCCACGUGGAUCGUGUGGAUUUUAGGGUGUACGUGGGUGCGAUUAUGAAGGAUUUGUAAAGUAUGUAACGCAUUCAUGGUUGAAAGUUACUUUCUGUCAAGCCUACCUAUGAUAACCAUUGUGUAUGCAUCUUAAGGUUUCUAAAUGUCAAUCAAUGCAGAGUUAUGGUAGGGCUGAGCAUAUAUAACAAUUGACAUGUUCACAGAAUGGCCGUUUAUCAAUGUGAAUGAUUAGUAUCAUUGGGAAUUCGAGAGAAUUAUCAUUAAUAAAGACAAAAACUGAUUAAAUUGUCAAACAUUCAUUCCUUAGCAUAGUGUUCAACCUUACACAAACUGUGUCAGCUUUUGUAGUUAAAAUUAAAUUUAUUGACUUCAGCUUAUUUCGGCAAAUUGAAAGAAAGUUAAUAUAAUGGGUCGUGUUUACGCUUUCAGCAGGUACAUGUAUAUCAUGGUUUGUGAAGUAAAGAUGAUUAAACUCUUAUAAGUCAUAAACUGGCUAGCUACUUUUGAAUUGCUUAACCGGAAGACAUUUCAGUAGAGAUAUUUCCUACAUCAAGAAAAUUCCCUUCCUGUUGCACACAUAUUCAAGUAUGCGGGCCAUUGUACAGUUAAUGUGUACAAGUGAUGAUUCAAAUACCAAAAUAAAACAUUUCUGGCUGCUAUUCUGAGAUUUCCAAAUCAAGCUAAACGCAAAAACAUAUAUAUAUAAUGCUUAAUAUAUUUCUAAAUGAUAAAGCCUUCGUGAUACUUUCAGGAAGAAUUGUCAUGACAUUAAUUGAUUCGAUUCUGUCUGAACCGUCCCCAAUACAUUGAAACGGAAAAAAAUGUGUGUGACUUGUAA
RNAcentral lists this long non-coding RNA (1612 nucleotides) under Haliotis rufescens (red abalone). Its description in RNAcentral is "uncharacterized LOC124149413". Lineage: Eukaryota; Metazoa; Mollusca; Gastropoda; Lepetellida; Haliotidae. The record is from RNAcentral.